UACGGAGGAUGCAAGCGUUAUCCGGAUUUAUUGGGUGUAAAGGGUGCGUAGGCGGCGUAAUAAGUCAGUGGUGAAAGCCGGCAGUUCAACUGUCGAGGUGCCAUUGAUACUGUUAUGCUUGAGUACAGACGAGGUAGGCGGAAUUUAUGAUGUAGCGGUGAAAUGCAUAGAUAUCAUAAAGAACACCUAUAGCGAAGGCAGCUUACUAGGCUGUAACUGACGCUGAGGCACGAAAGCGUGGGGAGCAAACAGG
This 253-nucleotide ribosomal RNA is filed under the name uncultured bacterium. Its description in RNAcentral is "partial 16S ribosomal RNA". It matches the Rfam family "Bacterial small subunit ribosomal RNA", at positions 524 to 776 of the family's 1533-position model. The record is from RNAcentral.